AUGGUUGCGGCGCAGCAGGCCACGCUGCACGCGCAGGUGGACCAGCUCCAGCGCCUCGUCGUCAACCCGCUCGCCCAGGAGAUGGUCAGGAGCCCCUCCCCUUUCUCCAAUCUCUGCAUCGUCGGCUCUGCGCGCAGCUCCGCGAGGCGGAGUGCGAGGCCGUGGUGUCCGUCCUCGCGCCGUGGUGGCCGUCCUCGCGCUCGUGCCGUGGUGGCCGUCCUCGAGCUCGUGCCGUGGUGGCGCGCAAUGGGUGCCGCCGAGGAUGCCGUGCAGCAGCUCGGCCUGCUCAUGGAGCUUUGGGAUGUGGUUCACCGGACAUGUGGGCGAGGCGGAGGCGCCGGCGUGCGUGCUCUCUCCCGUCUGCAUCCUGAGCAGCUCUGCAUCCUGUUGCAGCCGGAGCUGGGCUCCAUGACGAAUCUACUUGAUGCUCAAGAAUACUUGCUCCAGGAAGGGUGCAGACCGCCGUCUACACGAACAAGCAGAGAUACAUGCAGCUCUUCCUCCUCGUUGCUGUCCUGUACCUGA
RNAcentral lists this ribosomal RNA (525 nucleotides) under Triticum aestivum (bread wheat). Its description in RNAcentral is "partial small subunit ribosomal RNA". The record is from RNAcentral. Lineage: Eukaryota; Viridiplantae; Streptophyta; Magnoliopsida; Poales; Poaceae.